GCACGGGGGUUGCGCCAGGCCCGUUGCCCGGGGAAGGGUGGAAGGACCGUGCCCGCGUCUGUGGGCGCAGGCGGCCCUUUCCCGUGAGGGAAAUGGGUGCACGCCGUACCAAGGCACCAAAAGCUCUGGUCGAUCGUCUUGCACCUGUUCUUUAAGGUUUUCUUACGUCACUGCCUGAAAUGGAUCCGUAUUCUUGCUUUUCCUGAGGUUCCUGGGAAAUUAAGACUUCAAGAAAAGUUUCUCUUCAGUCGUGACAGAGUAUGACUCUGGCUGAUGCUUGGUCUUCCAAUUCAUGCUGCAAAUACUGAAAGGCUCCUCUCCAGCCAACCAAUACAGAAAUAUAUACCUGAAAUUUUGCAUAGUUUUUUAACCCUAAAGUCAGAUUAUUAAAUUUUAGGAGCUUUGUGAAAUUAUACAUGGAAUUUAGGGUAAAAAACCCUAAACUGGUUAAUAGGGAGUAAAAAUAUUUAAAAUUGUCAUUCUAUUACAAUGCUGGAAACACUGUAUCGUAAAAUAAUACGUAGUGCAGUAGAAGUACCAUUUUUCUGAACUCUGUUUCCCUUUUAUUCAGAAUUAGGAAAUGUUUCUAGAUAUAUUAGUGAAAAGUAGUGGUAUUUUUUUCAAAUAUUAUUAUCUAAAAGGUUCUGUUUCAUUGUUAAAACAGCAAAUAUAAGUAUCAUGAAAUAAAAAUCUGCAUUUGAGAAUUUAGGAAAAUAAACGCUGCAAAA
This is a long non-coding RNA of Apus apus (common swift), 728 nucleotides long. RefSeq lists it as uncharacterized. NCBI's taxonomy places the organism in Eukaryota, Metazoa, Chordata, Aves, Apodiformes, Apodidae. The transcript is spliced from 3 exons. The record is from RefSeq and is a predicted model, not a curated record.